GAUGAACGCUGACAGAAUGCUUAACACAUGCAAGUCGAUGGGGAAGUGGUGCUUGCACCCUGGCAACCAUGGCGGACGGGUGAGUAACGCGUAAGGGACUUACCUGCAGGACUGGGAUAACAGGGGGAAACUCCUGACAAGACCGGAUAAUGUCAUGGAGCUGCAUGGCUUUAUGAUGAAAGGAGACGCCUGCGGAGAGCCUUGCGUCCUAUUAGCUAGUUGGUGAGGUAAUGGCUCACCAAGGCGAAGAUAGGUAGCCGGCCUGAGAGGGUGGACGGCCACAAGGGGACUGAGAUACGGCCCUUACGCCUACGGGAGGCAGCAGUGGGGAAUAUUGGACAAUGGGGGCAACCCUGAUCCAGCAAUUCUGUGUGCACGAAGAAGGUUUUCGGAGUGUAAAGUGCUUUCAGCAGGGAAGAAGUAAGUGACGGUACCUGCAGAAGAAGCGACGGCUAAAUACGUG
Molecule: ribosomal RNA, 463 nt
Filed under: uncultured bacterium
Lineage: Bacteria
Description: partial 16S ribosomal RNA
Rfam family: Bacterial small subunit ribosomal RNA
Source: RNAcentral